GAAGUCCCGCCCGGGUAAGGCGUAGCGAGCCGCCCGGUAGCGAGUGUUGCAGGUCCGACCGGUAACGGCGGGGCUGAAGCGUACACAGCGAUCAUGUGAGGAAUGGGAUUGAGCCACGUAAUUACUGAAGUUGCAGAGGCCGAGCCUGUCCGUUGUGGCGAAGGCGGCCUGUGCGGCUGAGCGGA
Acidiphilium rubrum is the source of this 185-nucleotide non-coding RNA. NCBI's taxonomy places the organism in Bacteria, Pseudomonadati, Pseudomonadota, Alphaproteobacteria, Acetobacterales, Acidocellaceae. The record is from Rfam.